UUUAACUGAAGAGUUUGAUCAUGGCUCAGAUUGAACGCUGGCGGCAGGCUUAACACAUGCAAGUCGAGCGGGGGAAGGUAGCUUGCUACUGGACCUAGCGGCGGACGGGUGAGUAAUGCUUA
Molecule: ribosomal RNA, 122 nt
Filed under: Acinetobacter baumannii
Lineage: Bacteria; Pseudomonadati; Pseudomonadota; Gammaproteobacteria; Moraxellales; Moraxellaceae
Description: partial 16S ribosomal RNA
Rfam family: Bacterial small subunit ribosomal RNA
Source: RNAcentral